Mesocricetus auratus (golden hamster) is the source of this 4878-nucleotide long non-coding RNA. RefSeq lists it as uncharacterized. The record is from RefSeq and is a predicted model, not a curated record. The transcript is spliced from 4 exons. Lineage: Eukaryota; Metazoa; Chordata; Mammalia; Rodentia; Cricetidae.
CGGGAGGGCCGGGCGUCAGAGCCGGGCGGGGACGGGCCGGGCGCAGCCCUCCAUACAAGGCAGAGAGGAACUCCCAAAGUCGGCGUCGCCUGCUCCCGCCGUGGGGAGAGCGGAGGCCGAGCCGAUCCGGCCCCGAUGGGCUCCCCGGGGGACCACUGGCUGCCCGCGGGCGUCCACCGGCGCGCAGGCUCUUGCUGAGCACUUGGCUCGCCCCCUCCCGGGUUAUUUUUUUAUUUUUCUGCACAGUCUGGCAGGGGCCCCCAAGCCUUUCUCCCAGGCGUAGAAUCUACUGCCUGCCUAGGAGUCAUGAAACGAUUUGACAACAAAUGUAGGAGGGGUUUGUGGUACGUUUGAAAGCGCCUCUGUCGACUCUACCAGGUGGCACUGUUUGUCAUGGUGCGCCAGAUGUUAGAGCCUUUGACGGGGUUGGGUGCUAAUGAUGCCAGCGGCCCUAUGCCCAGAUACAACUAGACUCGGUUUACCUGGCUGGCGGGGACCGGGCCUCGGGGAGGGCUGGGAAUAGAUGAAGAACGAACUGUAGCUGUAAGAUCUCUUUCCUACUGAGAUGUAGGAAUGAAGGGUAUAGGGAUAAAUACUCCUUCCUGGGCGGUGACUGUGGCAAGGGGCCUUGGUAACAUCCUAGCAAACAACCUUCCAAGCGAUUGAAAAACUGCCCGCCCUGAUUGCUGCUGGACUGCUGGACCGCGUUCCUGGACGACGUUGUUGCCGGGUGGACUCCCUUUGCUGGGGUGAACACAGAACGGAGGUUAAGGUCAGAAACAGGUAGCACUCUGCAAACAUCCGAAACAUGGAGGGUGAGCUGGUUUCACCUCCCUCCUGGGGAGAAGCAGUGGCAGGGCUUGCGUGGGUCUUCUAGAAACAACAAAACAAAAAAGGUCUUCAGUUACACCUCCCCUGCCUGUCUCAGGCCGCCUUCGAGAAUAGAUUUGGUGGGCCGCUGCUGGAUAGGCUUCAUGAAGCAGCACAAAGUCUUCAGCUCCCUCCAGAAGGUGUGAAAGCACUGUUGACAUGAAGUCACGGAAUAAAAAAUAAAAGACCCUCCCUCUAAGGCGAAAGUCUGUAAUGAUUCCUAUGGAUGUAAGACUUUUAAUCACCCUUCCCUUCUCCCCAGGGGCCCAAGGGUUUCUGGAAGGAUAGACUCAUUUGGAAUUGAUUUUCUAAAGGCAACCUCCCCAAACAAAGAGAUGAUGAUGGUAAGGGUGAUUGUUGGCCAGAUCACAAACGUGUUUGUGAUUUUAUGGUGCUUGGCCCAGUGGUUUAGCUUUGCCUUCCCCUCAUCUCUUCCUUUUCACGCCUUAUUUGUUUUCUUUAUGUCCUCUGCCUCUCUCUCCCGCCCUUUGUUUCCUUCUUCCUACUCUGAGUGGCCUCACAAAGGCACCCCAGAGCGACUUAACUUAGUUUGUUUUGUGCUGGGCAGAGAGCUUGGCACCAGAGCUGCAGGAAUAGGGAUGCAGUGGGAUGUAAAAGAAUCGAAAGCUACAGUUCUGACGGAUAUAUCACAACUGCAGAUACCUUCUCUUCCCAAAACUAGACACCCAAAUAGUCAGAUCCAUCAUUCUUUUCAAUUCUCAAUGAGUCACAGGCUGAUGUUCUCCAGCAUGAGGAUUAGAGCAAGAUAAUUAGAUGCUCAUUAUUGUCUACAUAAUGUGUUGGUAUCAUAAUGUCCUUUACUAAAAUAUCAUUAUAAUAUAGUCUGUCAAUUAUUUCAUUAAUACUCCAGACUUCCUACCAUGGUACAUGAUUUCCAAUGUUAUAUAUUUCUUCAGGUCAAAAGGCUUAUAGAGUAAAAAGAAUGUAAUAAAGUUCUUGAGAAAGUAAGUAAGGUUUUAUUAUUAAUUUUGUUGGUCUUUGAGCCAGAUCUCAAUGUCUUUGGGUAUCUGAUAAAAUACUGUGCUCUGCAGUAUCUGAAGCUAUGGUAGAAAGAAGUUGCUUCUACAACUCUUACUUUGAAGGGUAGGUGGUUUUCAACUACAAGUCUAAAUCAUUUUAUUCUCUGUAGUGAGGUUUGGUUGCUAAUUGUUUUUGUCAACACAAACUUUUAAUGAAAAUAUUCCAAAUGAGUUUCUUUAAAUAUAUAUGUAUACAUAUAUGUAUAUAUGUAUGUAUGUAUAUAUGUAUGUAUAUAUAUAUGCUAAAGCAAGGCCACUUCUAUAACAUACUGGAUUAAUCAUAUCUUUUCAUAGUGUUUUCUCAUCUCAAUUGCAUUGAUUUGGGGAAGUUCUAUAAAGCCCAUAGUAUAUUCCAUUACUUUUAAUAAUGAAAGUUCCCUAAGUCACCAAAAUCUGUCAUUCGUGCUAAAAUGUUUACACAUCAAAGGACUGAUGAUAAAAAUGGUUGCACUAUGACCUAAAAUCUGAGCAAGACGCCAAAACAUCAAUGUCUAACAUUCAUUUAAGCAAAAUCUUUUUAAUUGGAAAAUAAAUUAGUGAAGCAUUGCAGAAUAUUUUGUAUGUCAUCAAUUCUGCAAGAGAGUUUAAUGCAUGGAAAAAUAUUAACUUUUACUUAGAACAAAUACAUGAUUCAUAAUCUCUUGAGAGCUCUCAACAGUUAUUCUUUAUCAAGGAAAGACAAAAGGGCAGAAAGGUCCAGCGGUUCUACCUCCUUAGAAAACCCUUUCAGGAGGCAAGUGGGAAAGAAAGCAGAGCAGAAUAUCCAGUCCCUGGAGGAUGGUCAAGGGAUGUGCAGUGAAUUUCAAGCUGGAGAUAGUCUUCUUGUUAGUGUUUUAAAAAUAAAGUGGCACCAAGAAGCCCUAAUUUAAAAAGCUGAAAAAAGAAACUAUUCUGAAUUAAGAAAUAUGGUCAGAUGUUUCCUAUAAACAUAGAUAGAUAGAUAGAUAGAUAGAUAGAUAGAUAGAUAGGUAGAGCAUUCCACUUUUGAUGAAAAAAAGCACUUAGCAGUGCUAAACACAUUUGCUGCUAUGUGUUGUUUGCUUAUUCACUUUCAUUUGCAAAUUUAUUCUGGUGUCUAUAAAACAUCAUCAAUAGCUUUUUCUUUCUCAUUUUUCCCCCAGGGUCACUACAUAGCACUGCUCUCGUGGAACUCACUAUAUAUAUAGACCAGGCUGGCCUUGAACUCGCAGAGGUCCACCUGUCUGUAUGCCUUUUGAGUCUUGGGAUUAAAGUCAUGCAUUACUACACUCCUAUAUAACAGUAGCUUUUAUGUUAUUCAGACUCAGAGCUCUGCUAAUAAUAGCAUUUCACAUUCAGCUUUUUUGUUCUUGUUUUGUUUUCCCUCUCCCUCCCUUUUCACUUCUGUUGAGCAUAAUCAUACUGGAGGAUGUGCAGAAAAUAAUGGCCCAGAGCACGACUUCCUACUAACAUAGGAAAAGAAGCCCUACAUUUCUCUAAAGCAUCUCCAGUCCACUCACAGAGCUGGAACUGUGCUUUGUGUCAUUCUUUCGGGCUGUGAAUUAGAGCACAGUGCACAGAAGGCUGUCCUCAGGCCUACCUAGGCAAAGGGAAGUGGGAAAUUCAGUUAUUUAUCCAAACAUUCAUUAGCAACGGCAAUGCAAGGGAAGCAGUUGAAUAGAUAGAUAGUAAAUGCCGAAAUGGCCAACAAUACCAAAUGCAAGCAUUGUUUCCUGUUUCCUAGAUUAUAUUGACACAGCUUUGUAGCAAAGAAGAAGGCAACAUAUACCAUCUAUGGCUAUUAACUCUUCUAAGGUUUUGUUUUUAGUCUGCAAACACAUAAACUUACCACUACAGUCUAGCAUGUUUCUAUACAACAAAGGCUAUCCUGGAACAGUCAGCUGUUACUUAUUAUAGUACUACAGAGACUGAAAUUAAUCUGUCGCAGAGGGGUCCACAGAAGCAUGGCAGAAUAGGGUGGCCAAGAGUUUACACCUCAGUGGUGAGCAUGGAAGAGAAAAUGGGAGAGCCACCACUGCACUGUGGUUCCCAUGUGUGUUCAAUUUAGAGGCUUAAAAUGCCUAAGACUGUUAGAACAUGUACACAAUUAUCUGAAUGCAUUUAGGGAACUCUACUUUUAAAGUCCUAUAUUCCAUUGAUAGUGACAAUUAAAGGUCAUAUUACUGUGAUUUAUCACAGAGGGGAAUAUGUGAACUUUUGUAGUUGUACAUGGAUACACCUAAAAACCAAUAGACUAUUAUUAUUCAGUGACAGUACUCAGAUGUCUAGCGUGAUUCAAGAGUAACCUCCAACAUUCUGCAUAAUUUGGAAAAAAAAGAAUACUAUGAUGCCUAAGCAAAUAAACAAUAUUGUUAUAUGCUAUCUGAUGUUUUCCUUUUCCUGACCAAAUUGCUAAUAUUUUAAAUAUCACAUAUUUUUAAAACUAGACAAUGAUUCAAAAAUUCUGUUCUAAGUAGCUUUGUUGUGCAUAGUUGGAAUUUACAGACAUUGAUUUUCUCUUCCUUACACACAUGUUAAGUUUUCCACUUGGAUGGCCUAUUCUUUAACAUUGUAAUUUUAUGUGUCCAUAGCUAACAACAUGCAUUGAUUUAGUGAGUGUGUCAACCAGGGUGAAGACAGCCCACAGAAAAGCAGUGGGAAUUUCAAGGAUACAGGAGGUAGAAAAAAUUAGGGAAGGUGACACUACAUGAUCCAGAGAGGAGAAACUGAAAACGUGGAGGAACAAAAUAAAGGAAAGGAUGUUGGUUUACACAAUGAAGAAAAACAAUGCCAAGAAGAAAGGGUCCAAGAGACAGCAGCAAACGCGAAGGCCGUAGCUACAUAAAUAAAUCAGGACCAUGAGAUGCCACCCUUUCUUUCCUAAAGCGUGACCCAGGAACAUGAAAAACAAUGAAGAGGAAUCAGCCGAGUGCCUCAGCAGAAAGCAAUGAGCACACCAGAGAAAAUGUGGCCAUGGAAGAAAAGAAAUUCAAUAAAGAAUUGUAACCCA